UGCAGUCGAGCGAGGUUCUUCGGAACCUAGCGGCGGACGGGUGAGUAACACGUGGGUAACCUGCCUGUAAGACCGGGAUAACUUCGGGAAACCGAAGCUAAUACCGGAUAAUUUUAAGCAUCGCAUGAUGCUUGAUGGAAAGACGGCUUCGGCUGUCACUUACAGAUGGACCCGCGUCGCAAUAGCUAGUUGGUGAGGUAACGGCUCACCAAGGCGACCAUGCGUAGCCCACCUGAGAGGGUGAUCGGCCACACUGGGACUGAAACACGGCCCAGACUCCUACGGGAGGCAGCAGUAGGGAAUCUUCGGCAAUGGGCGAAAGCCUGACCGAACAACGCCGCGUGAGCGAUGAAGGCCUUCGGGUCGUAAAGCUCUGUUGUUAAGGAAGAACAAGUACGAGAGUAACUGCUCGUACCUUGACGGUACUUAACGAGAAAGCCACGGCUAACUACGUGCCAGCAGCCGCGGUAAUACGUAGGUGGCGAGCGUUAUCCGGAAUUAUUGGGCGUAAAGCGCGCGCAGGCGGUUUCUUAAGUCUGAAGUGAAAGCCCACGGCUCAACCGUGGAGGGUCAUUGGAAACUGGGAAACUUGAGUGCAGAAGAAGAAAGCGGAAUUCCACGUGUAGCGGUGAAAUGCGUAGAGAUGUGGAGGAACCCAGUGGCGAAAGCGGCUUUCUGGUCUGUAACUGACGCUGAAGCCGAAAGCGUGGGGAGCAACAGGAUUAGAUACCCUGGUAGUCCCGCCGUAAAGAUGAUGCUAAUGUUAGAGGGUUCCGCCUUAGUGCUGAAGUAACGCAUUAAGCCUCCGCCGGGGAGUACGUCGCAGACUGAACUCAAGGAUUGACGGGGCCGCACAGCGGGGAGCUGUGGUUUAAUCAAGCACGCGAGAACUUACCAGUCUUGACAUCUCUGACACCCUGAGAUAGGCUUUCCUUCGGGACAAAUGACAGUGGUGCAUGGUGUCGUCACUCUGUCGGAAA
RNAcentral lists this ribosomal RNA (980 nucleotides) under Ectobacillus funiculus. RNAcentral describes it as "bacterial SSU rRNA". It matches the Rfam family "Bacterial small subunit ribosomal RNA", at positions 56 to 1070 of the family's 1533-position model. Lineage: Bacteria; Bacillati; Bacillota; Bacilli; Caryophanales; Bacillaceae. The record is from RNAcentral.